CUUCAGCGGCGGCGAGAAGCUCCUCCGACCACCAUCUGCUGCUGCUCGUACUUCUCCGACGAUGGUGAGUUGCAGUUGCUGCUUGUACUCCAUGCUCUUUUGCUUGUACUGCUAGAGUGGUCGUGCUUGUGCCGCUAUGUCUUCUGAUGCUGCUAGAUCAUCUCCUACUCAGAGUAGGAGCAGGAGUGUUAGAGUACAUGCAGUAGGAGUAAGUCUUCUGGUACUCCAUGUUGUACAAUUUGUGACUCAGAUCUGGGUCACAAUAUGAGUAGGAGCAGAGUACUGUACAUCCAGUAGUUGAGUGCUUGCUCAGACUAGGAUUUCUUUUAGGAGUAGUCUACUAAAACUCUGAAAGUACAGUACUCUACUGAAAGUACUCCUCGUAAGAAUAGUUAGAGUGUUUGCUCAAAGUAGGAUUUCAUUUAGGAGUACAGUCGAGCAAGUUUACAAGUUAUAGAACAAAAUGCUCUACUGAAAGUACUCCUUGUAAGAGUAGUGUGAUGCAGUAAAUUUACUGUACAUUCAGAAAUUGAGUAAAUUUACAGUAAAUUCAGGACUGUAGGAGUACAUUCACUGUUUUUUUGUCCAAGUGAAUAGCAUGUGUUUUCCCCAUUGGCCAUGUGUCAUUCUAGAAAUAAAAUUAGUGCAUAUCUAAUGGUAGUAGAUGUGCUUAGCUGAAACUUUAGGAGUGAUUUUUGUUAAUGUUAGGAGUGAUCUUAUGCUUGGAGUAUUGUUGCUUAGAGUAUUGGGUUAACUGGUGCAUCAUCCUAACCUUCAGCAGGUGUAAAUGUUGCCGAUUUACCGAAGAUGCGGCUCCUGAUCAUGCAUGUGGGUCGUCAAGAUUCUUGAUGUGGCUGAAGCUCCUGAAGAUGUUGAUCAUGUGGCUGCUGAUCGCAUGCUGCUGUGUCUGCCUCUUAGCUGUAAGACAAUCAUAGUACUUGGAGUAUUUAAUUUUGUUACUCCUUGUGACAGGAAUAUUGUUGCUUAGAGUAUUUGCUUGGAGUAUUGUUGCUUAGAGUAUUUGCUUGGAGUAUUGUUGCUUAGAGUAUUUGCUUGGAGUAUUGUUGCUUAGAGUAUUUUGCUUGGAGUACUUGUAGGAACAUGGGGUAGUGCUUGAUCUGGUGCAGUAUUUUAAGUACUGUUAAAAAUAUUGUUAAUUUAAAAUACUUUGUGUGAUAGGAAUCGAAUACUGUUAAUUUAAAUUACUGCUUGUAGAUAGAUUAGAUGCUUGGAGUAGUACUGCUAGUGU
Molecule: long non-coding RNA, 1249 nt
Filed under: Triticum aestivum (bread wheat)
Lineage: Eukaryota; Viridiplantae; Streptophyta; Magnoliopsida; Poales; Poaceae
Description: long non-coding RNA (TAES_LNC028459)
Source: RNAcentral